Lonchura striata (white-rumped munia) is the source of this 705-nucleotide non-coding RNA. NCBI's taxonomy places the organism in Eukaryota, Metazoa, Chordata, Aves, Passeriformes, Estrildidae. The record is from the annotation of a RefSeq genome assembly.
GGCGGCUGCUGCUGGAGCAGCGACAAACGCACAAGGAGCAUUUCAGGCGCUGCAAGACCAGGGCAUUGCUCUGCCUGCUCCCGCCGCUGCUGCCUUUGCUCCCGCCCAGAGCCGCUCCCGGCAGCUCCGUUCUCUCGGCGCUGCCGCGUGCUUUCGGACUCUUCCUCACUCAGCAAACACGCAGCUCGCUCUCGGCAUGCACCUCGCAUCUCUCAUCCUCAGCGUCUUGCUGGCCCGGCUCCUGGGCGCCACGGGGCAGGACACGGUCACCCAGGAUAAUGGACCAGUCACGGUGAAGCAGGGACACUCCUUUCACACCACCUGCAAAUACCAGACCAAUACUUUUAAUGCCUCGCACUGGUACCAGCUGCGGAAAGGCCAAGCCCCACAGCUGCUCUCCUAUCAAGCAGGGAGUGGCCCCAAGCACAGCGGCCAGAUCACCACGCACCUGAACACCACGGGCAAAUCCAGUGUCCUGCAGCUGGAGGAAGUGGAGCUCUCUGACACUGCCUGGUACCUCUGUGCUCUGCAAGACACCCUGGUGCAGGGAGCUGCCUCGGCUGUGCAACAAGGCAGGGCAGGGAGGGGAUGUGUCAGGGCAAGGCUGAGCUUGGGGAAGGGACCCUGAUCUCAUCCUGGUGUUCACCAGAAGUUGCAUUCACAUCUGUGUACUAUGAACUGGAGGUUUGGACAGAAUUCAUUCUA